GUCUAUCUAGAUGACAUCCUGAUCUUUUCCAGAAACCAAUCCGAGCACGAGACCCAUGUCAGACAGGUCCUGCAACGACUCCUCGAAAACCGAUUGUUCGUCAAAGGAGAAAAGUGUGAAUUCCACGUCUCCACCGUUGCAUUCCUGGGGUACAUAAUCGACCAAGGAAACCUCCGCCCGGACCCUGUGAAGUUGAACAAAGAAGCUCAGGCAGCUUUCCAAGAACUGAAGAAACGAUUCGCCUCAGCCCCCAUCCUGAUCCAACCCGACCUCACGCAGCCAUUUGUGGUCGAGGUCGACGCGUCCGACUCAGGGGUUGGAGCGGUUCUGUCGCAACGGAAGGACGACCCGGUUCCCGGAAUGUCAAACCCGAUGCCCUGUCC
This is a long non-coding RNA of Astatotilapia calliptera (eastern happy), 383 nucleotides long. The record is from Ensembl. NCBI's taxonomy places the organism in Eukaryota, Metazoa, Chordata, Actinopteri, Cichliformes, Cichlidae.